Long non-coding RNA from Esox lucius (northern pike), 2949 nucleotides. NCBI's taxonomy places the organism in Eukaryota, Metazoa, Chordata, Actinopteri, Esociformes, Esocidae. The record is from Ensembl.
UAUAUAUAUAUAAUGAAAUUAGCUAAGAAAGUAGCUGUAUCAAUGUAGAAAACAUGCUAACUCAGCCAACUGAAUUGCCUGCUAUAAAGUUACGUAACUAGCUAGUGAUUCAGUUACAUUGGUGCUAGACUCUCGAGAGGCUACGCUAGCAAAAUAUUCCCUGAACGUUCUACCUUCGCAACCUCAACAGUGCGUGUCGGUGUGUGGGCCUACAUCAACCUGACGUAGUAUGUCCUACUGCCCAAAGAAAAAGAAGAAUGAUGACUCUGCACAGAGAUGUCUCUGUAAGAACCAGGGAGGACAAGAAGCCCAACGCUGUCCUGGAUUACAACAGGAAAAAAGGGGGAGUUGACAACAUUCAUAAGGUUACUGGCACAUGCGCUUGUAAGAGGAUGACGGCACGUUGGCCCAUGGUGGUGUUCUUCAACAUCCUAGAUGUAUCGGCCUACAAGGCAUUGGUGGUGUGGAUGGAGGUGAAUCCAGGCUGGAAGCAGGGGGAAUUCUUCAAGACUAUUGUUCUAAGAAUUGGGGAAACCCAUGGUGGCACCCCUCAUUCAAUGGCGCCAACACCUUCCUCGAACUUCCAACCUCUGCUGGAUUGGUGAGAGAUAUACAAAGGCCAUAGGCAAGAUCUACGGCCGCCAGAGACGAAAGGAAGAGGUGCAAUCUGUGCACUAAGAGAUGUCAAAACGGGCAUUAUGUUCCAGAAAUACAGUGCAUACAUUUGCAAGGCACAUGCAACAAUCAUCAUGUAUGGUCCAACUAAUCAGAUUAGCUCUGAAAUAUAUCUGAUGUAGUUGGCCAGUUUAUGGAAACAAUAUUAUACUUUAGGCUGUCUGUGUAAACCUUAAAUUGGUCACAGUAGUCAUAUUGAAACUUAGCAGUCAGAAAUUAUUUAAAUUGUUGUGCCAGCAUUCAUUUUCCCCAUAGAUUUUAAAUCCUUUGGAAUAUGUACAGUCGAGUGACAAGGAAAAAACUUGAUUUAAUGAGUGGAGGAACAUAAUGAAUGCAGAUGCUUACAGGUGCACGGCAUUAUACCACUAAGCAGUUAACAUCAUGCUCUUUGGCGUGUGUAAACAUGCUGAGCAAGCCCAGUUGACUUUGAUUUAGGAUCAAGAUGGCAUGAGCAAAGGAUCUAAAUGAUCUCAAAAGAGGGUUCAUCAUUGGACACAGAUGGCAGGAGCUUCAGUCACAAAGGCUGCUCAUCUGGCAAGUGUUUCAAUAGGUACUGUGACUGAAGUUAUUUAUGCAAUUAGGUUUAUUUGAAAGACAUCAGUAAAUAAGGUUGGAAAUUGUUGUUGAAAAACACAUUUGAUGACUGUGAUGCUUGUGCAUUACUGUGAUAUUUAAGGAAAAACAGAAGAGCAGCUCUUUCCCAGGUGACUGAGAAUGUCAACCCAGGACAUGAUCAGAUUGUGUCAGCAAGAACAGUCUGCUGAGAAAUACACAAACAGGGAUAUUAUAGUGGGGUUGUAGAGCAUAAACCCCUCAGUAAAUAGACAAAUGCACAUUUGAGAGCUCAGUGGUGCAAAAACCAUAGACACUGGUUUAUAGAGUGUGAAAAGGGGAUAUGGUCAGAUUAGUCAUCCUUUACAAACAAGUGGGCAAGUGCUUGUUUGGUGUACAACAAGAGAACUUUGUAGACCUGAUAGCUUGACCGCAGUGCAAGAUGGGUCACUAAGUGGUCACUAAUUGAUGAGUAUGAAAACGAUGUGAAUCAUAUGCUCCGCAGUCACCAGAUUUCAGCCCACUUGAAAACCUUUGUGAGAUUUUGGACAUACAUGUUAGGCAGUGCUCUCCACCACCAUCAUCAAAACAUUGUAGAAUCUAUGACAAGGCGCAUCUAUGACAACACCUCACUGAGGCACAGGGGGCCAGAGGGCACACACCACGAGACGGCACCUGACCCUCACUUCCAUCAGCCAUGGAAAUAAUCUCCACAUUCCAGAGCCAGCUAACAAGCGUGCACCGCAAGACACAAAAAGCUGGUUUGGUUCAGACAAUAUAGAGGGUCCACCCUGGAAAUACUGCCAGUCUGCAGACACAAAAGGAGGGCCAGAAAGGAAGGAGGACAGGAGGGAAUGAUGAUGUGUUAGGUUGCUAAGGUCUAAGACCCUCCGGGUUAACUCUUGGAACCGAGGCAGCUGACUGUUGUGUAUGGACCAAUAUGGGCAUUCCGGCCUCUCAGGACAGAUACAUUUCACUCAGGGCCAAAUUAUGGGCCUGGGCCCAGAGGCCUCUGACCAUUUGGAGCCUCGGGCUACAAGGCACCCCAAUAAUGGCCGAUACCAAGAUAUACUAAGACCCCUCCUCCAUUACCAAUACCAGGGUCCCUCCACAACCUAUACAGGAGCCCCUUGGUCCAACCAGAACCAAUGCCAGCGUGUUUUAGAUAUUCAGUCUAUUUAUUUAAAUAUAGUAUACACUGAUGAACCAAAACAUUGACCACCCACAGGUGAAGCGAAUAACAUUGAUAAUCUCCUCGGACACUGAAUUGCAUAAGGAGGUUUUUCAGUUGUUACAUGUAUGUCUCUACUUUGGGAACCUGAUAGCUGCUAUCCCAGUUGUAGUAGCAAUUUUGCACAACUGUUCAUCCCACUUGUAACAUACUUAGGCUAUACCAAUGGUUCAGAUUAGUAUGAUUUGGAAUAAUUAGUACAUUUCCUAACACCCGGAAAGUUAUGCUGAAAUUAUGCAGGAAGAAAAUUGUAGGCUACUGUUACAUUUAAAUAAAAAAAAUCCAAUCAAAUUAAAGCUGCUGUUUGAAAAUUGUGUGAGUGACAACUGUCAGUUUUGUCUAAUUUAGCUUGGCACUGAUCUAAUAAGUAAAUUUAUGGUUGUAGUUUCCCCCGAACAGAGCUAGCCUUCAGAUAGCUCUAAAUACAACAAAACCCAGGGAGAAAGCAGACUUGAGAUUGGCCAUACACGGACGUAAACGUGAAGAUUGGU